Molecule: ribosomal RNA, 433 nt
Filed under: uncultured bacterium
Lineage: Bacteria
Description: partial 16S ribosomal RNA
Rfam family: Bacterial small subunit ribosomal RNA
Source: RNAcentral
AACGAACGCUGGCGGCAUGCCUAACACAUGCAAGUCGAACGAGACCUUCGGGUCUGGUGGCGCACGGGUGCGUAACGCGUGGGAACCUGCCCUUAGGUUCGGAAUAACUCCCCGACAGGGGUGCUAAUACCGGAUAAUGUCUUCGGACCAAAGAUUUAUCGCCUUUGGAUGGGCCCGCGUUGGAUUAGCUAGUUGGUAGGGUAAAAGCCUACCAAGGCGACGAUCCAUAGCUGGUAUGAGAGGAUGAUCAGCCACACUGGGAGUGAGACACGGCCCGGACUCCUACGGGAGGCAGCAGUGGGGAAUAUUGGACAAUGGGCGAAAGACUGAUCCAGCAAUGCCGCGUGAGUGAUGAAGGCCUUAGGGUUGUAAAGCUCUUUUACCCGGGAUGAUAAUGACAGUACCGGGAGAAUAAGCGCCGGCUAACUACGUG